UCCGAGCUGGAGGAGCACGUGUACGUCGGGGAGGCAGCAAGGCCAGCACGCCGUUGGUCCGUCCUUCCCUGGUUCCUCCCCAAGCGCCACGAAGAGGAAGAGAUAAUGGUGAAGGAGAAGGGGACUGAGAAGGAAAGGGUGGCGGUAAGGAGAAUGUGAAGGCAAAGGCAAAGGAAAAGAGUGUGAAUUACCUAAUUAGGCAAGAUUCGGCGCUGCCUCCGCCGGUUCCGGGGAAGAAGAGGAAGCCUAAGGUGCAGAUUAGGAAGGCGAAAGACUUUCCCAAUGCCCCAAUGAGAGAGUUGAUUUGUAGGUUAAAAAACACCCUCCACCUCCUCCGCGUCUCGCCGACCGCACCGGUGCCGGCGUGUGUGCCGCGGAAGCCGCUGCCUCCGGCUCUGCAACCUGCACCGAGCUGCCUCAUGCAUCUACUAUUGUGGUAGAUGAUGAGGAGAAGGAGGAUGACGAGGACGAGGACUUGGACAUGGAUGAGGACAAGGACAAGGACGAUGAGGAAUAUGAGGAGCAAAAUCUGUUUAUAGUCCCGCCACAAGCGAGUGCUGAUAUGUCGGAUGAUGAUACAUCAAACGGGUAUAAGGAAUCAGCUGAUGAACUUGAAGGUGACACUAUGUCCGAGGAAUCACUUGUGCAUGUUGUGUUAUGUUAAACUUGUCAAUUGACAUGGACUUGGAAUUGUCAUUGCAAGUUUGUAAUCAUGUCAUUCAAUGAUGAUAAGACAUUAUGUUUGUGGAUGUGAUAUUUGUGCUUAACCUGAUUUGUGCCAUCUU
Triticum dicoccoides is the source of this 785-nucleotide long non-coding RNA. RefSeq lists it as uncharacterized. The record is from RefSeq and is a predicted model, not a curated record. The transcript has 3 exons. Lineage: Eukaryota; Viridiplantae; Streptophyta; Magnoliopsida; Poales; Poaceae.